This 468-nucleotide ribosomal RNA is filed under the name uncultured bacterium. Its description in RNAcentral is "partial 16S ribosomal RNA". It matches the Rfam family "Bacterial small subunit ribosomal RNA", at positions 28 to 507 of the family's 1533-position model. The record is from RNAcentral.
GACGAACGCUGGCGGCGUGCUUAACACAUGCAAGUCGAACGGAAAGGCCCUGCUUUUGUGGGGUGCUCGAGUGGCGAACGGGUGAGUAACACGUGGGUAACCUGCCCUUGACUUUGGGAUAACUUCAGGAAACUGGGGCUAAUACCGGAUAGGAGCUCCUGCUGCAUGGUGGGGGUUGGAAAGUUUCGGCGGUUGGGGAUGGACUCGCGGCUUAUCAGCUUGUUGGUGGGGUAGCGGCUUACCAAGGCUUUGACGGGUAGCCGGCCUGAGAGGGUGACCGGCCACAUUGGGACUGAGAUACGGCCCAGACUCCUACGGGAGGCAGCAGUGGGGAAUAUUGCACAAUGGGCGGAAGCCUGAUGCAGCAACGCCGCGUGCGGGAUGACGGCCUUCGGGUUGUAAACCGCUUUCGCCUGUGACGAAGCGUGAGUGACGGUAAUGGGUAAAGAAGCACCGGCUAACUACGUG